GGAUCGAUAGCUCAGUGGCAGAGCGGUGGGGCGUUUACCCAUGCGGCCCGGGUUCGAUUCCCGGUCGAUGUA
Phthorimaea operculella (potato tuberworm) is the source of this 72-nucleotide non-coding RNA. Lineage: Eukaryota; Metazoa; Arthropoda; Insecta; Lepidoptera; Gelechiidae. The record is from the annotation of a GenBank genome assembly.